Humulus lupulus (European hop) is the source of this 115-nucleotide small nucleolar RNA. RefSeq annotates it as small nucleolar RNA Z278. NCBI's taxonomy places the organism in Eukaryota, Viridiplantae, Streptophyta, Magnoliopsida, Rosales, Cannabaceae. The record is from RefSeq and is a predicted model, not a curated record. The transcript has a single exon.
UCCAUUGAUGACUCAAUCCAAUUUGUUGAGUUGUAGUGAAUCUGAGACCCUGUUUACAGGGAGAACCCCUUGGUGGAGCUACAUUUCGUAUGACAUUAAUGGAUUUAACUGAGGU